RNAcentral lists this ribosomal RNA (1223 nucleotides) under metagenome. Its description in RNAcentral is "bacterial SSU rRNA". It matches the Rfam family "Bacterial small subunit ribosomal RNA", at positions 8 to 1222 of the family's 1533-position model. The record is from RNAcentral.
AGAGUUUGAUCAUGGCUCAGGAUGAACGCUAGCUACAGGCUUAACACAUGCAAGUCGAGGGGAAACGAUAUUGGAAGCUUGCUUCCGAUAGGCGUCGACCGGCGCACGGGUGAGUAACGCGUAUCCAACCUGCCCACCACUUGGGGAUAACCUUGCGAAAGUAAGACUAAUACCCAAUGAUAUCUCUAGAAGACAUCUGAAAGAGAUUAAAGAUUUAUCGGUGAUGGAUGGGGAUGCGUCUGAUUAGCUUGUUGGCGGGGUAACGGCCCACCAAGGCAACGAUCAGUAGGGGUUCUGAGAGGAAGGUCCCCCACAUUGGAACUGAGACACGGUCCAAACUCCUACGGGAGGCAGCAGUGAGGAAUAUUGGUCAAUGGACGAGAGUCUGAACCAGCCAAGUAGCGUGCAGGAAGACGGCCCUAUGGGUUGUAAACUGCUUUUAUAAGGGAAUAAAGUGAGAGUCGUGACUCUUUUUGCAUGUACCUUAUGAAUAAGGACCGGCUAAUUCCGUGCCAGCAGCCGCGGUAAUACGGAAGGUCCGGGCGUUAUCCGGAUUUAUUGGGUUUAAAGGGAGCGUAGGCCGGAGAUUAAGCGUGUUGUGAAAUGUAGACGCUCAACGUCUGCACUGCAGCGCGAACUGGUUUCCUUGAGUACGCACAAAGUGGGCGGAAUUCGUGGUGUAGCGGUGAAAUGCUUAGAUAUCACGAAGAACUCCGAUUGCGAAGGCAGCUCACUGGAGCGCAACUGACGCUGAAGCUCGAAAGUGCGGGUAUCGAACAGGAUUAGAUACCCUGGUAGUCCGCACGGUAAACGAUGGAUGCCCGCUGUUGGUCUGAAUAGGUCAGCGGCCAAGCGAAAGCAUUAAGCAUCCCACCUGGGGAGUACGCCGGCAACGGUGAAACUCAAAGGAAUUGACGGGGGCCCGCACAAGCGGAGGAACAUGUGGUUUAAUUCGAUGAUACGCGAGGAACCUUACCCGGGCUUGAAUUGCAGAGGAAGGAUUUGGAGACAAUGACGCCCUUCGGGGCCUCUGUGAAGGUGCUGCAUGGUUGUCGUCAGCUCGUGCCGUGAGGUGUCGGCUUAAGUGCCAUAACGAGCGCAACCCCUCUCCUUAGUUGCCAUCAGGUUAAGCUGGGCACUCUGGGGACACUGCCACCGUAAGGUGUGAGGAAGGUGGGGAUGACGUCAAAUCAGACCGGCCCUUACGUCCGGGGCUACACACG